GUGCCACCCUUGCAAGGCCUGGGAAAGGCUGCGGGGCCAGGCGGCACCGGGCAAGCUGAGUGCCAGGUGGUGGUUGCAACACACCGGGCAAAUCUGAAACCAUGGGACGGACGAGCUGCACCCCUGGGAAAGAGAACAGAGGAAGGCCGGUUAUCAACGUCCUCCUGUGCCUCAGUUUCCAGAAACAAGCCAGACUCAGUGCCUCAGGGAGACCCCGUGUGGCCUCCGGAGAGCACGGGACCCGCCCUUUGUGCAGCCAUGCCAGGCAGGAAAAUGGGCACCUCUAGUGACCCAGGCUGGCUGAGAGCCUGCAGGGAAGAGCCUUUGGAACGUGAGCCACUGUGGGCUGGCAGGACUGCAACUGGCGUCUCCAUCUACUGGUACCGAGGCGAGGAGGAAAAAGCAGGGGGGCCCGGAGACGGCCCCUCUAAGUCUGUAACUCCAGAGCUGCUGCUCAGUCCCCAGAACGUCACCUCCGAGCAGAGCCUGUGACAACUGUCAACUGUGAAGCUGUGGCGUGGGUUGCUACUGAAGCUCUGAAGUCAGCGAGGACACAGCAUGUUUGUUCUAGACCGUUUGGCUGCGGGAGGAAGCUGUACAUGCACACACUCGCCUCACCACCCUGCGAGUCCACAGGCCCCUCCCCGGAGUCACCUCCAGGUAAAGGGGGCCCUGCGUCGGGACUUGCUCUCUGGGGCGCUGAGAUGCUCUACAAUGAGCUGUGCUGCAGUGCACGGCCGCCCGACUGUGCACCCGCAACGGGGAACUGAACGCUGCAUGAAGUACAUCUCCAAGUUGUUCUUUAAGAAGGCUUAGGGUCCCUGGAAGACCCUCGCCCACACCCAGCGUGGAGCGUUGUUGCUCACGUGGCCACACCUCUCGGGAUGGCCGUGGGUCUCCGUGAUGGGCAGGCGAGUGGAACCACAGGUGCUUCCCGUCCUGGUCACAAAGUCAGAGUGGCUGGGCCAAGUGUCCUGAGAAGAGUCACCUCCUGGGAUCCCAUCAGCCUGGCCAUAGCAGAACACCCAGACAGGGGCCCAUCCCCGAGGCUCAACUCAACGCAUGCAGCCACUGUAGAAAAGUCUGGAAAGUAGUUCUUCAACCGACUAGACAUGGUGAGCCCAAAACCCAGCCAUGACACUCCUAGGCAUCUGCCCCAGAGGAAUGAAAGCAUCCAUCCCCUGCAAACUCAUCCUUACACAGCAGCGUGACUCAAGACGGCCAAAGGCGGAAACACCCCAAACGUCCAUCAGUGGACAAACGGGCAGAUGCAAUGCACUGUCUGUACCGUGGGAUGUCACUCAGCCAUAUGAAGGAAAGACUCCAGUGUGGAUGAGCCCUGGAACCACGGUGCUGCGUGAUCCCGUAACACAUGGCCAGAACAGACACGGCCCGGAACCUGAGGCCGGGAGGAUGCGUGCAGGUGGCGGGGAGACAGAGGGGCGAUGGCCCAGUUUCUUUUGGGCUGAAAAUGGUCUAAAGUUGACUGUGGUGAUGGCUGUACAACUUUGAAUAUGCUGAAAACUCGAAUUACACACUUCAGUUGGGCGAACUGUACUCCAUGUGAAUUACCUCUCGAUGGUUCUCUCCUGGGCUCAGGCGCUUCUCCCACCUUGGCCUCCUGAGUAGCUGGAACUACCAUUCAUGUGCGGAAAUAAAACAACUCGGUCUCAAAAAAAACUCAACUCAAAACUCAGUCUCAAAAAUAAAAAAAUAAAAAAGUAAAAGAGGCUACCAAUAGGAGAGGAAUUCAGUCAUUCAUGUCAUAAGCACAAUGCGGUUAUUUAAAACAAUUCUGAAUAUGGGGAAACGUGCACCCAGCAGGGCCUGGAAACAGCCAGAGCGUGACAGUGCCGGCGCAGCCAUGAAAAACCCCUCCCUGUGAACACACAUGUGAAAGAAGAUGCAAAGUCACUGUGGCUUCCAGUUUCACAACUGCAAUUCGGCAUCUCUAAUUUGCUUUUUUCCAGAAACUUCUGUUAGCAUGGUUGUUUCCUUAGCUUUUGACCAAAGAAACUUCAAAAACAAGAAAGCGUUAUAAUGCACCCCGUUCCCUUCCAAAGGCCUCCAACUGCAGGGGCUCGUCCCAACAGGCCCUGCUGGGGGUAAAGAGGCCAGGCCCAGGGGAACACUGACCAGGCCCAGGGGACACUGCCCAGACCUGACGCUCGCCACCGGCAGUUUACGUUAGACA
RNAcentral lists this long non-coding RNA (2194 nucleotides) under Homo sapiens (human). RNAcentral describes it as "non-protein coding AATBC:18". The record is from RNAcentral. Lineage: Eukaryota; Metazoa; Chordata; Mammalia; Primates; Hominidae.